Molecule: ribosomal RNA, 2923 nt
Filed under: Klebsiella pneumoniae
Lineage: Bacteria; Pseudomonadati; Pseudomonadota; Gammaproteobacteria; Enterobacterales; Enterobacteriaceae
Description: 23S ribosomal RNA
Rfam family: Bacterial large subunit ribosomal RNA
Source: RNAcentral
GGGUUGUGAGGUUAAGCGACUAAGCGUACACGGUGGAUGCCCUGGCAGUCAGAGGCGAUGAAGGACGUGCUAAUCUGCGAAAAGCGUCGGUAAGGUGAUAUGAACCGUUAUAGCCGGCGAUGUCCGAAUGGGGAAACCCAGUGCAAUUCGUUGCACUAUCGUUAACUGAAUACAUAGGUUAACGAGGCGAACCGGGGGAACUGAAACAUCUAAGUACCCCGAGGAAAAGAAAUCAACCGAGAUUCCCCCAGUAGCGGCGAGCGAACGGGGAGCAGCCCAGAGUCUGAAUCAGCUUGUGUGUUAGUGGAACGGUCUGGAAAGUCCGACGGUACAGGGUGAUAGUCCCGUACACCAAAAUGCACAGGCUGUGAACUCGAAGAGUAGGGCGGGACACGUGGUAUCCUGUCUGAAUAUGGGGGGACCAUCCUCCAAGGCUAAAUACUCCUGACUGACCGAUAGUGAACCAGUACCGUGAGGGAAAGGCGAAAAGAACCCCGGCGAGGGGAGUGAAAAAGAACCUGAAACCGUGUACGUACAAGCAGUGGGAGCACCUUCGGGUGUGACUGCGUACCUUUUGUAUAAUGGGUCAGCGACUUAUAUUCUGUAGCAAGGUUAACCGUAUAGGGGAGCCGCAGGGAAACCGAGUCUUAACUGGGCGUUAAGUUGCAGGGUAUAGACCCGAAACCCGGUGAUCUAGCCAUGGGCAGGUUGAAGGUUGGGUAACACUAACUGGAGGACCGAACCGACUAAUGUUGAAAAAUUAGCGGAUGACUUGUGGCUGGGGGUGAAAGGCCAAUCAAACCGGGAGAUAGCUGGUUCUCCCCGAAAGCUAUUUAGGUAGCGCCUCGUGAAUUCAUCUUCGGGGGUAGAGCACUGUUUCGGCUAGGGGGUCAUCCCGACUUACCAACCCGAUGCAAACUACGAAUACCGAAGAAUGUUAUCACGGGAGACACACGGCGGGUGCUAACGUCCGUCGUGAAGAGGGAAACAACCCAGACCGCCAGCUAAGGUCCCAAAGUCAUGGUUAAGUGGGAAACGAUGUGGGAAGGCACAGACAGCCAGGAUGUUGGCUUAGAAGCAGCCAUCAUUUAAAGAAAGCGUAAUAGCUCACUGGUCGAGUCGGCCUGCGCGGAAGAUGUAACGGGGCUAAACCAUGCACCGAAGCUGCGGCAGCGACACUAUGUGUUGUUGGGUAGGGGAGCGUUCUGUAAGCCUGCGAAGGUGGCCUGUGAGGGUUGCUGGAGGUAUCAGAAGUGCGAAUGCUGACAUAAGUAACGAUAAAGCGGGUGAAAAGCCCGCUCGCCGGAAGACCAAGGGUUCCUGUCCAACGUUAAUCGGGGCAGGGUGAGUCGACCCCUAAGGCGAGGCCGAAAGGCGUAGUCGAUGGGAAACAGGUUAAUAUUCCUGUACUUGGUGUUACUGCGAAGGGGGGACGGAGAAGGCUAUGUUAGCCGGGCGACGGUUGUCCCGGUUUAAGCAUGUAGGCUGGUUAUCCAGGCAAAUCCGGAUAAUCAAGGCUGAGGUGUGAUGACGAGGCACUACGGUGCUGAAGUAACAAAUGCCCUGCUUCCAGGAAAAGCCUCUAAGCAUCAGGUAACAUCAAAUCGUACCCCAAACCGACACAGGUGGUCAGGUAGAGAAUACCAAGGCGCUUGAGAGAACUCGGGUGAAGGAACUAGGCAAAAUGGUGCCGUAACUUCGGGAGAAGGCACGCUGGUGUGUAGGUGAAGUCCCUGCGGAUGGAGCUGAGACCAGUCGAAGAUACCAGCUGGCUGCAACUGUUUAUUAAAAACACAGCACUGUGCAAACACGAAAGUGGACGUAUACGGUGUGACGCCUGCCCGGUGCCGGAAGGUUAAUUGAUGGGGUUAUCCGUAAGGAGAAGCUCUUGAUCGAAGCCCCGGUAAACGGCGGCCGUAACUAUAACGGUCCUAAGGUAGCGAAAUUCCUUGUCGGGUAAGUUCCGACCUGCACGAAUGGCGUAAUGAUGGCCAGGCUGUCUCCACCCGAGACUCAGUGAAAUUGAACUCGCUGUGAAGAUGCAGUGUACCCGCGGCAAGACGGAAAGACCCCGUGAACCUUUACUAUAGCUUGACACUGAACAUUGAGCCUUGAUGUGUAGGAUAGGUGGGAGGCUUUGAAGCGUGGACGCCAGUCUGCGUGGAGCCAACCUUGAAAUACCACCCUUUAAUGUUUGAUGUUCUAACGUUGGCCCCUUACCGGGGUUGCGGACAGUGUCUGGUGGGUAGUUUGACUGGGGCGGUCUCCUCCCAAAGCGUAACGGAGGAGCACGAAGGUUAGCUAAUCCUGGUCGGACAUCAGGAGGUUAGUGCAAUGGCAUAAGCUAGCUUGACUGCGAGCGUGACGGCGCGAGCAGGUGCGAAAGCAGGUCAUAGUGAUCCGGUGGUUCUGAAUGGAAGGGCCAUCGCUCAACGGAUAAAAGGUACUCCGGGGAUAACAGGCUGAUACCGCCCAAGAGUUCAUAUCGACGGCGGUGUUUGGCACCUCGAUGUCGGCUCAUCACAUCCUGGGGCUGAAGUAGGUCCCAAGGGUAUGGCUGUUCGCCAUUUAAAGUGGUACGCGAGCUGGGUUUAGAACGUCGUGAGACAGUUCGGUCCCUAUCUGCCGUGGGCGCUGGAGAAUUGAGGGGGGCUGCUCCUAGUACGAGAGGACCGGAGUGGACGCAUCACUGGUGUUCGGGUUGUCAUGCCAAUGGCACUGCCCGGUAGCUAAAUGCGGAAGAGAUAAGUGCUGAAAGCAUCUAAGCACGAAACUUGCCCCGAGAUGAGUUCUCCCUGAGACUUUAAGUCUCCUGAAGGAACGUUAAAGACGAUGACGUUGAUAGGCCGGGUGUGUAAGCGCAGCGAUGCGUUGAGCUAACCGGUACUAAUGAACCGUGAGGCUUAACCUUACAACGCCGAAG